Long non-coding RNA from Mytilus californianus (California mussel), 1676 nucleotides. RefSeq lists it as uncharacterized. The transcript is spliced from 3 exons. The record is from RefSeq and is a predicted model, not a curated record. NCBI's taxonomy places the organism in Eukaryota, Metazoa, Mollusca, Bivalvia, Mytilida, Mytilidae.
UUUAUUUUUGUUUAUAUUUUUGUUAUUGGGUUAAAGUAUUAAAUAUUAAGUGAUAAUUUAAUGAAAUUUAAACCAGCCAAAUAUUUUAAGUCAAGGUGUUUGGUACCACCUUAACUGUUUUUUAAUACAUGAAUGUUAAUUGGUUUAAAAAUAACCUGUUAGAAAAGUGCAUUUGUUCACUAUCAAGUGAUAGAGUAAAAGUUCUUGUUUGAAGUUGAGGUUGAGUUUACUGUUAUCAGAUCAAUUUUAUUCAAUAUGAUGAAUUUUGAAUAACACUACAGGGAGAUAACUCUGUAAAAAUCAGCUGAACUUUUUAUUCACAUUCUAUUGUUAAGGGUAUUCUAAGCUUUUCAAUGAUUAAAAUUGGUGUUUUUUAACUGCUAUAUAUCCAAUAAUUUUUUCCAAUAAAGUGUGUGGUUCAAGUUUAAUUUUUUUUUUAUACUAUUGGCAAAAGGUAAAGUAAUUAUUUAGUAAAAAUUUUAUGAAAUUUAAACGAGUCAAAUUAAUUUAAAUCAAGCUGUUUGGUACCACCUUAACUGUUUUUAAUACAUGUAUGUUAGUUGUUUUAAAAUUAAUUUGUUAAAGAAGUGCAUUUGUUAACGAUCAAGUUAUUAAGUAAAAGUAGUUCGUGUUUGAAAUUGAGGUUACUGUUAUCAAUUUUAGUCAACAUCAUGAUGAAUUUUAAUUAAUUUAUUUUAAUUAAUGUUAUUUUUUAACAAUAUUUCCUAUUUGUUCAUGGUAAAGCUUGAAUUAAUAUAUUUUCUCACUUCCAAUCUUUGUGUCAUGAACUAAAACAAUUAUCAUGAUUGACAAUAAACUGUGUGAUGUGUGUAAUGCCAAACUUUGUUGAUAAAUCAUUUAAAUUGUAAAAGCUGUUAACGUUAUCUUGACGGUUGUAAUGUUUGUUUAUAGUGUGGAGUAAUUAUACCUCAUUAAUAACAGGACACUUUGAUGUGAUACUUCCAAAUACUAAGUUUCAUAGUUGAACCAUUAUCAACACGAUAUAAAUUGUUUAACACCACUGAUGUGCUAAAGUUAACCUGUUUUAUACGAGGACUUUGAAAUUAUGAUGAAUUCAAUGAAAGGAAAUCAGAAAGGGAACAUUUUAGUAACAAACUUGAGAGGAAUUGACUGAUUUACACUAAUGAAAUGGAAAGGUUGACCUUGUUUCACAAAGGAUAUAUGACAAGGUUAGCCUGAUUCACACAAGAAAUUGGAAAGACACGAAGAUAUUAAAGAUUCAUCCUACUUUGUACGGGCAUAUGGAAGACAUGCUUUUAUGUGAAUGUUCCAGCUUAAAAGAUAACCCAAGGACACCUUAAAGGAUUCAAUGACUGGCUUUAGCUAAUCAUGAUUGAUUAAUUGAAAAAGGAACUGAUGUUAUUUGACCUUGUCUCAGAUUGUGACCAAUGGAGAGACAGAAUAGCUGUGAUUUAUGAUGAUGGACAGAUGUCAGCAACUUUGACGUAUAAACAAGUUAUGAUUGUAGCUGGGAAGGCUUUAGAACAACCUCUCUUCCAAUACAAUGCUGAGAUUAUCCGUAGUGAUAUUUUACAAGAUCUCAACAUGGUAUUAGUAAAGUUAAACAGACCACAACAUCCUAGGUCAGAGAGGACAUCCUUAGCAUACUGCAUCACAACGUCUGGCACUACUGUACACCAAAGAUUGUCAAAGUA